RNAcentral lists this ribosomal RNA (251 nucleotides) under uncultured bacterium. RNAcentral describes it as "partial 16S ribosomal RNA". It matches the Rfam family "Bacterial small subunit ribosomal RNA", at positions 101 to 339 of the family's 1533-position model. The record is from RNAcentral.
AACGGGUGCGUAACACGUGAACAAUCUACCUUUAAGUGGGGAAUAACUAGCCGAAAGGCUGAUUAAUACCGCAUGUGGUCGAAAUUCUCCUGAAUUUCGCACUAAAGUCAGGGACCGCAAGGCCUGACGCUUAUAGAGGAGUUCGCGGCCUAUCAGCUAGUUGGCGAGGUAACGGCUCACCAAGGCUAAGACGGGUAGCUGGUCUGAGAGGAUGAUCAGCCACACUGGAACUGAGACACGGUCCAGACACC